Molecule: ribosomal RNA, 459 nt
Filed under: uncultured bacterium
Lineage: Bacteria
Description: partial 16S ribosomal RNA
Rfam family: Bacterial small subunit ribosomal RNA
Source: RNAcentral
CCUACGGGUGGCAGCAGUGAGGAAUAUUGGUCAAUGGUCGGGAGACUGAACCAGCCAAGCCGCGUGAGGGAGGAAGGUACAGAGUAUCGUAAACCUCUUUUGUCAGGGAACAAAGGCGGGGACGUGUCCCCGGAUGAGUGUACCUGAAGAAAAAGCAUCGGCUAACUCCGUGCCAGCAGCCGCGGUAAUACGGGGGAUGCGAGCGUUAUCCGGAUUUAUGGGGUUUAAAGGGUGCGCAGGCGGUCUGUUAAGUCAGCGGUCAAAGCCCGGGGCUCAACCCCGGCCCGCCGUUGAAACUGGCAGUCUCGAGUUGGAGAGAAGUAUGCGGAAGGCGCGGUGUAGCGGUUAAAUGCAUAGAUAUCGCGCAGAACUCCGAUUGCGAAGGCAGCAUGCCGGCUCCACACUGACGCUGAGGCACGAAAGCGUGGGUAUCGAACAGGAUUAGAUACCCUUGUAGUC